CUGCUGUGAAAUCCCGGGGCUCAACCCCGGGCCUGCAGUGGGUACGGGCAAGCUAGAGUGCGGUAGGGGAGAUUGGAAUUCCUGGUGUAGCGGUGGAAUGCGCAGAUAUCAGGAGGAACACCGAUGGCGAAGGCAGAUCUCUGGGCCGCUACUGACGCUGAGGAGCGAAAGCAUGGGGAGCGAACAGGAUUAGAUACCCUGGUAGUCCAUGCCGUAAACGUUGGGAACUAGAUGUAGGGCCUGUUCCACGGGUUCUGUGUCGUAGCUAACGCAUUAAGUUCCCCGCCUGGGGAGUACGGCCGCAAGGCUAAAACUCAAAGGAAUUGACGGGGGCCCGCACAAGCGGCGGAGCAUGCGGAUUAAUUCGAUGCAACGCGAAGAACCUUACCAAGGCUUGACAUAGCCGAGAACGCUGUAGAGAUACAGAACUCUUUGGACACUCGGUUACAGGUGGUGCAUGGUUGUCGUCAGCUCGUGUCGUGAGAUGUUCGGUUAAGUCCGGCAACGAGCGCAACCCUCGUCCUAUGUUGCCAGCACGUUAUGGUGGGAACUCAUGGGAUACUGCCGUGGUCAACACGGAGGAAGGUGGGGAUGACGUCAAAUCAUCAUGCCCCUUAUGUCUUGGGCUUCACGCAUGCUACAAUGGCCGAUACAAAGGGCUGCGAUACCGCGAGGUGGAGCGAAUCCCAAAAAGUCGGUCUCAGUUCGGAUUGGGGUCUGCAACUCGACCCCAUGAAGUCGGAGUCGCUAGUAAUCGCAGAUCAGCAACGCUGCGGUGAAUACGUUCCCGGGCCUUGUACACACCGCCCGUCAAGUCAUGAAAGUCGGUAACACCCGAAGCCGGUGGCCU
RNAcentral lists this ribosomal RNA (850 nucleotides) under Leucobacter aridicollis. RNAcentral's name for it is "bacterial SSU rRNA". It matches the Rfam family "Bacterial small subunit ribosomal RNA", at positions 589 to 1436 of the family's 1533-position model. The record is from RNAcentral. Lineage: Bacteria; Bacillati; Actinomycetota; Actinomycetes; Micrococcales; Microbacteriaceae.